GGUUACCGCCGGUGCCGCAGCUAACGCAUUAAGUAUCCCGCCUGGGAAGUACGGCCGCAAGGUUGAAACUCAAAGGAAUUGACGGGGGCCCGCACAAGCGGUGGAGCAUGUGGUUUAAUUCGACGCAACGCGAAGAACCUUACCCAGGCUGGACAUGCAGGUAGUAGAAGGGUGAAAGCCUGACGAGGUAGCAAUACCAUCCUGCUCAGGUGCUGCACGGCUGUCGUCAGCUCGUGCCGUGAGGUGUUGGGUUAAGUCCCACAACGAGCGCAACCCCUGUCUUCAGUUACCAACGGGUCAUGCCGGGAACUCUGGAGAGACUGCCCAGGAGAACGGGGAGGAAGGUGGGGAUGACGUCAAGUCAGCAUGGCCUUUAUGCCUGGGGCCACACACGUGCUACAAUGGCCAGUACAACGGGCUGCCACGGCGCGAGCCGGAGCGAAUCCUCAAAGCUGGUCUCAGUUCGGAUUGUAGGCUGCAACUCGCCUGCAUGAAGCUGGAAUUGCUAGUAACCGUGGAUCAGCAUGCCGCGGUGAAUACGUACUCGGGGCUUGUACACACCGCCCGUCACACCACGAAAGUAGGCAACACCCGAAGUCCGUGGGCUAACCGUAAGGAAGCAGCGGCCGAAGGUGGGGUCAAUGAUUGGGGUGAAGUCGUAACAAGGUAGCCGUAGCGGAAGCUGCGGCUGGAU
This 694-nucleotide ribosomal RNA is filed under the name uncultured bacterium. Its description in RNAcentral is "bacterial SSU rRNA". It matches the Rfam family "Bacterial small subunit ribosomal RNA", at positions 828 to 1523 of the family's 1533-position model. The record is from RNAcentral.